GACAGAGGGUGCAAACGUUUGUUCGGAAUUACUGGGCGUAAAGCGCGUGUAGGCGGCCAUGCAAGUCGGAUGUGAAAGCCCUCGGCUCAACCGGGGAAGUGCACUCGAAACUGCAAGGCUAGAGUCUCGGAGAGGAUCGUGGAAUUCUCGGUGUAGAGGUGAAAUUCGUGGAUAUCGAGAGGAACACCGGUGGCGAAGGCGGCGAUCUGGACGAUGACUGACGCUGAGACGCGAAAGCGUGGG
RNAcentral lists this ribosomal RNA (243 nucleotides) under uncultured bacterium. RNAcentral describes it as "partial 16S ribosomal RNA". It matches the Rfam family "Bacterial small subunit ribosomal RNA", at positions 524 to 765 of the family's 1533-position model. The record is from RNAcentral.